AACCUAUCGAUCUCUUGAUCGUGGGAUUGCUGGCCCUUUUGGGGGCAUGUGCACACCCACCAUCCUCAUCUCUCCACCUGUGCACCUCUUGUAGACUUGGGGGAUACUCUUUCCGAGGCAACUCGGUGCUGGAGGAAUGCUGCUCAAGCCUUCUUUGUAUUUCCCGGUCUACGUUUUUUUUAUAUACCCCAUAUGAUGUAAAAGAAUGUAUCUUUUGGAUCCUUGGGCCUAUAAAUCUUAUACUACUUUCACCAAAUGAUCUCUUGCCUCUCGCAUCGAUGAACAACGCAAAGAAAUGCAAUAAGUAAUGAGAAUUGAAUAAUUCGAUGAAUCAACGAAUCUUUGAACGCACCUUGUCCUCGUUGUUCUUACGAGGAUGAUGGCUGGUUGAGUGUUAUAAUCUUCUCCACCUUAUCACAUUACUUCUGAUAGUGUGUAGGAUGUGGGGUUUCCUCUUGCUGGCUCAGGCCUCCUCCCCAUAGCUGUAUUAGCUGGCGCCCCUGGAGGACUGAUUAUUGGUGUGAUAAUUAUCUACGCCAUGGAUGGAUGGCUGCUCACCGCUGCUACUAGCCUUUGAAAACAAUACACUGACAAUUUGACCUCCAAUCAGGAAUAACUACCCACUGAACUUAAACAUAUAAAUAAACGAAGGAA
Molecule: ribosomal RNA, 654 nt
Filed under: uncultured Basidiomycota
Lineage: Eukaryota; Fungi; Basidiomycota
Description: eukaryotic LSU rRNA
Rfam family: 5.8S ribosomal RNA (bases 244-397)
Source: RNAcentral